This 246-nucleotide ribosomal RNA is filed under the name Triticum aestivum (bread wheat). RNAcentral describes it as "partial small subunit ribosomal RNA". Lineage: Eukaryota; Viridiplantae; Streptophyta; Magnoliopsida; Poales; Poaceae. The record is from RNAcentral.
AUGAGGCUGGAGAGGGUGGUGUUCGCGCUGAACGGGCGGCGGUACAAGGUGGGCGCCGGCGACGUCCACCCUGGGACCACGCUGCUCGAGUUCAUCCGCAGUUCUGCACCCAGACGCCAUUCACCGGCACCAAGCUCGGCUGCGGGCGUCAUGGUUCGAGUGCGGUGCUAUCGGUCAUGCGUACCAUUGCUUUCUGUGAUUUUUGGGUCGACAUGCGUACGUUGUGGUCCAAGCGUACAUCAUUAA